This is a long non-coding RNA of Octopus sinensis (East Asian common octopus), 187 nucleotides long. RefSeq lists it as uncharacterized. The record is from RefSeq and is a predicted model, not a curated record. The transcript is spliced from 3 exons. Lineage: Eukaryota; Metazoa; Mollusca; Cephalopoda; Octopoda; Octopodidae.
AUUCUGAAAAAAAAUUUCAAAAAAUUUUUUGGUUUUUAAAAAGAAAAUUUUUUUUUUGUUUUUUUUUAAUACAUUACUUUACCAAAAAUGCAGUUAAAUAAAAAGGGAGUAGAUCUAAUCAGACAUUUAAUUACUGCCAGAAAUGUGGUUCCAGGAAAUUAAAAAGAUAUUCUAUUGAACAAUGAAA